CUAAAGAACGUCCAAAACGGACGUCCGGAGCUCCCAAAACGUCAAAAACAUCAAAAAUACUCAUCCUGUCGUAGAAAAUUCGCUGAGCGAAAAUCCUGCUGUUCGCUGAGCGAAUUUCUACUGAAAAACCCAAUUAAUUUUGGGUUCUCGCUNUGCGAGAACCCUCGCUCAGCGAAUCUGCACUCCUGCAGAUUCCCAAUUCUGCAGAUUUGCAGAACUCAACCCCUCCUAUUUUGUUUUAGGCACUUAUAUGAACUUCCAAUGAUCUUAACUCGACCUAUAUGAUGAUUUAAACUUGCUCAUGUGGUCCUAACCCUUCCUAAUACAAUUUCUUAACUGUUAUGCAUUAAUUCCCUUCCUAAAACUUCAAUUUCAUGAACUAAAUAAGCUAAAUCUAAUUUUACUAAUUACAAGUCAUUUUGAACCAGUUAAUCUGUCCCUAUAAGUCAUAUAUGACUUACCUAAUUGUACUAAACUGACCAAAACAACAUACAAUCACAGAGUCAAAUUCUUGCUACUCUAGUUCCUUAAAUUUAGCCUAAAUUGUCUAAUUCACCUAGCUUUCUACCUAUGAAUGCAUACAACAUAAUUUAACUCAUUCCAUCAAUCCCAAUUCAGCAUUUUUAUCAUAUAAAACCAUAUCAUAAGUAAUCACUUUCAAAAUUAAAUCCAGAAAUCAACAGUACAAUGCCUCAUACCCUCGUUUCACCCAAAUUCAUCCUAAGACAGUAUAAUUGAUCAAGAACUUUCGUGUUACCACUGUUUCACAGAUUUCAAACAACAUUUAUAGCACAUGCAGAUUCAAAUGGAUAAGACAAAACAUGAAUUUCUAGCUUCCCUUACCUGGACAAUUUAACUCUUCAACCUCUCAACAGGAUCAACAACACUUGAGACGCAAAUGAGGGUUUUUCUAAGAUUACCUAAAAUCAAGAAAAUUAGAGGUAGAAGAGGGUUUUAGAACCCAUUAUGAACUAUAAAUUUGGGGAAAACAACAAAUUGAGCUACAUGCAACAAAGUUGUUUACAUGAUCACAGCUCAGAGAUGAAAGAAAGGAAGAGGAAUGCUUACCAGAUGGGAGUACCAGAUUGUUUGGUGGAAUUCAAAACUCACAACACCAGGAUUUUCUCAAGCUCCUCCUCAUUUUGAAAGAAAUGAUUCUGUGAGGAAAGUCUAGAGAGAUUGGAGAAAUUGAAGAACAAGAUUUUCAGAGAGAGAGAGAGCGUGUUUAAGAAAAUGGGUUCUUACAAUAUAUAUAUAUAUAUUAUAUUUUGUAAAAACAACAAUUAAUAAUUUUGAAGAGUAAAAGAGCGAAUUUAGUAUAUUUGUUUUCUGAUAGGGAUGAGAUCAU
Molecule: long non-coding RNA, 1348 nt
Filed under: Vigna radiata
Lineage: Eukaryota; Viridiplantae; Streptophyta; Magnoliopsida; Fabales; Fabaceae
Description: long non-coding RNA (VRAD_LNC004340)
Source: RNAcentral